RNAcentral lists this long non-coding RNA (261 nucleotides) under Anser brachyrhynchus (Pink-footed goose). RNAcentral's name for it is "lncRNA (ENSABRG00000015564.1)". Lineage: Eukaryota; Metazoa; Chordata; Aves; Anseriformes; Anatidae. The record is from RNAcentral.
UAUAGCCACUGGUGGAACAGAAAGAUGUCCUUGAAGAAUCUUCUAAGCAUACCAGAUCCUGCCUUAAUGCAGAAAUUUAGGAACAUGUGCAGACUCUGGAGCCUGGCUUCAUGCUGUGAUGGCUGGAAACCUGUUGUGUGAUGCAACACUGAGGAGCAAGCAAGCCCGGGGCUCCUACUGUGACCCAAGAGAGAAGGGGCUCCAGACCUGGGCAGAAAGAAGUGAACCAGAGAAGCACAACCUUUGGUAGAAUGAUCUGUG